AGAGUUUGAUCAUGGCUCAGAACGAACGCUGGCGGCAGGCCUCAAACAUGCAAGUCUAGGGGGUGUAGCAAUACAUCACCGGCGGACGGGUGCGUAACGCGUGGGAAUAUACCUAUUGGUUCGGAACAACUCGGGGAAACCCGUGCUAAUUCCGGAUACGCCCUUACGGGGAAAGAUUUAUCGCCGAAAGAUUAGCCCGCGUUGGAUUAGCUAGUUGGUGAGGUAAAGGCUCACCAAGGCGACGAUCCAUAGCUGGUUUGAGAGAACGACCAGCCACACUGGGACUGAGACACGGCCCAGACUCCUACGGGAGGCAGCAGUGGGGAAUCUUGGACAAUGGGCGCAAGCCUGAUCCAGCCAUGCCGCGUGAGUGAUGAAGGCCUUCGGGUUGUAAAACUCUUUUGGCGGGGACGAUAAUGACGGUACCCGCAGAAUAAGCUCCGGCUAACUUCGUGCCAGCAGCCGCGGUAAUACGAAGGGGGCUAGCGUUGUUCGGAAUUACUGGGCGUAAAGCGUGCGCAGGCGGCUUCUCAAGUCAGGGGUGAAAGCCCAGAGCUCAACUCUGGAAUUGCCUUUGAGACUGAGAGGCUUGAGUACGGGAGAGGUGAGUGGAAUUCCCAGUGUAGAGGUGAAAUUCGUAGAUAUUGGGAAGAACACCGGUGGCGAAGGCGGCUCACUGGCCCGAAACUGACGCUCAUGCACGACAGCGUGGGGAUCAAACAGGAUUAGAUACCCUAGUAGUCC
This 744-nucleotide ribosomal RNA is filed under the name uncultured bacterium. RNAcentral's name for it is "bacterial SSU rRNA". It matches the Rfam family "Bacterial small subunit ribosomal RNA", at positions 8 to 796 of the family's 1533-position model. The record is from RNAcentral.